CGCCUAUUGAACAUAUAAUAGGUCCAUCCUGCCCAGUGAAUUUAUUUUCAACGGCCGCGGUAUCCUGACCGUGCAAAGGUAGCAUAAUCAUUUGCCUUUUAAUUGAAGGCUAGUAUGAAAGGACACACAAGAAUAAUACUGUCUCAUUUGGGUUAUCUUAAAACUGAUUUUUAGGUGAAGAAGCCUAAAUUUCCAUAAAGGACAAGAAGACCCUAUAGAGCUUUAUCAGUAAAAGUUAUUAAACUCCUUUACUGAUUUGGUUGGGACAACCAAAAGACAAUAAUACCUCUUUUUCUUAAAAAUAUAACUCACACCCAUAAUUGAAUUAGAAUUUCAAGCUACCUUAGGGAUAACAGGCUAAUCCCACUAGAGAGACCACAUUGACAGUGGGGAUUGGCACCUCGAUGUUGGCUUAGUGUUACCAUUAGGCGCAGCCGCUUAAUUGAGUUGGUUUGUUCAACCAUUAAAUCACU
This 473-nucleotide ribosomal RNA is filed under the name Perinereis wilsoni. RNAcentral describes it as "partial 16S ribosomal RNA". It matches the Rfam family "Bacterial large subunit ribosomal RNA", at positions 1831 to 2597 of the family's 2925-position model. The record is from RNAcentral. Lineage: Eukaryota; Metazoa; Annelida; Polychaeta; Phyllodocida; Nereididae.